UUGAUUCAUGCUAUUAUUAUUACUACUUCUACUGUUAUGAUGAAAACUCUACGCCACCCGUCAUAUUCAUCCCAUGGACCACAACGUGGGAAGCGGCCAAGGAUUACUGCCGAAACAAUCACAAGGAUAUUGUUACUCUUGAAGGCGAUGUACUAUUGGAAGAUCUUCCUAAGGAAGACCUAUUCUAUAUCUGGACAGGAAUUCACAUAACUGAACCUGAUGGUGGUUGGAAUACAAGCGCCGGCAAACCUACAAACUACGAAGACUGGGCGGAAGGGCAGCCCACUGCUGACGGGGACUGUGUUGGCAUCUCCAAUAAGGACAAGAAGAUGACUAUCUUGGACUGUGAUUCCAAAUGGCCCUUUUACUGCUUCCAAGACAACCUGGUUCUGGUAAAGGAGGACAAGACCUGGGAGGAGGCCAUUGAGCACUGCAGGGCCAUGGACUUGACUGACCCCAACAACCACCGCAAUGACCUGAUCAGCAUCAGUGGUCCGUUGGAUCAACAAACUGUGUGGUCCAAAAUCAACGAAGCCACCUCAAACGAGGUUUGGACCGGUCUUCGCUACUUUGCUCACGAAUGGUUUUGGGUUGAUGGGACCGAUGUGCCAUACCAGGACUUGCCGUCCUGUCCUGUUCGAGGGCAGUAUUGUGGAACUGUGGACAGGGACAACAGCACCAUACCCUGGAAUAUCAGAGACUGCAAUGAAAAAAGAAACUUCCUCUGCUACGAGAAGUACUGAUCAUUGAAUGUAAUCACACAGUUAGUAACAGAUAAAAUAACUAGACAUUGUCGCAUAUGCAUUUUCUUUAGAGAAUGUGUGUAGUUUGUAUAACAAACAAACAAUUAGCAUAACAAUUUGUUUCUAAUCCGUUACUCUUGUGAGUAUGACAAGGUUAUAAGAUCACAGCAGUCCCACUACGGCAAACGCUUUGCUACUCUCUACUGCUCCCCCACUGUCUGUAGUGGUAUACAUACUAUAAUGGCAUACAUCAUUUCUAUUUUUAUCUAGAAAGCCUCGGAAGACUCAAAAUAACCUGAAUAGAGUUACUUAAAGAAAAGUAAAGUAGGCCUAUUACAUUCAAUUAAACCAAAAAUGUGAUUGCAUAUAUUUGUUUCUGUAACACAUGAACUAACUUGUAGUUUGCGAAACAUUCCCUGAGCGUGCUAAUGCUAGCAAGGCUAAUGAGCAAGCCCACCGAGUUUCAAGAACCUGGGCCACUUAGAAGCAGACAUGUGAUUGAUUGAAUAAUGGGGCUGUUCAUUGCUGUUUGUGAGUUAAUACGCCCCCUGUUACAAAAGCGGUAGGCCUACUUUAAUUUUUUUUUAAGACAAGUGGCUUCGUCCUGAUCUACAUUGCAGCUGGAUAGCUUUGCCUCCUUUAUGUUAUGUUCUCCUCUUUGGCAAAACCCUAGUCCCAAAUCCGGUUGCAUGUCUUGUGGUAUCGUACUUGCUUUGUGUUUUGUAUUCACCUGUUCAAUGAUCCCUCAGUAUACCCAUUUUCAUAAUCUGUUUCAGUCCAUUAUUAUUCACUGCUAACCUUAUCAUCUAUUAUCCAUAACCCAGCCAAUUUACAUCUGUUACCGCCCCCAAUUCCCCAAGACAGUGUGGUUGUAGCACUCUCUUCUUAAUACACUUUUCAAACAUCCAUCAUUCUAGGUAAAUGUGGUCCCAAACAGAUAGGUAAAUAAGGUUCAGCCUUCGUGGGUGCGUUGGUGUAAAAGUCAAAUAAUCGGAGUGGCAAUCAUUUGAAUGUUCCGAUGUUAGUUCAGUGGCUACAUGCUCAGGAGUCAAAUGCAGUCAACAACAAUGAAAAGGCAAAAGCCCUGAAAACUUUACGUAUACAGAAACACAAACACACACAUACACGUUUAUAUUGUAGCAACCCUGCUUUUAAUCGUCCAAGAACCACACAGGUUGUUGAGAUUAUCUAACUUUGAUUUAUUCCGCAAUGUCGGCAACCGUCAGAUGCAAGCGGCCGACGAGACAGGGCAAGAAGUACGACUGGAGUAAAUCCAUCCAGCGGGCGGUCCGUCACUCUGGCUCCCUGGAAGACAUUAACCAUUGGAGGACAGUGUAGUCGGUUCUGAUGAUGAAGAGCUGGCCUCACAGGUGGUACUUAAAAUGUCUUAUCGUCAUCACCCCUGUGAGCCACUGCCGCCUCAUGACGCCAUAGCACUUUUCAAGGACUUGCUGAAAUACUUAAAUACCACUCUCUCCAUCCAGGCCUACCUGAGUCAAAACAGAGAGAGGUGAAGCAGUCCAAGUGCUACCAUUUAAAUUUAUUUCACAAUGAAUUAUGUGUUUGUGAUUGCCAUCUUAUUGGUAACACAUUUGUCUUUUGUGUUGGGCUUUUAUGUGUUUGUAAUGCAGAAUGCAGAAUGAGAAAGCCCAGUAAUUGUGAGUGGUGCACGUCAUAAUAUGCCCCCUAUCUAUGUGCAAAUGCUUUUGGAUAACUGUUACACGAUUUUUACAUGUCUACACACGUUGGUGGAAAUGUUCAUGAAAAAAAGUGUUAUUGCCAUUAUUGUCAUAUUUUGGUUAACCUAUAGUUGUCUAAAAUCUAAAUUUGUAUUUUUGCUCUUGGCUUGUAGUGCCCCCGUGUGUUUAUAAAGAGCAUGACACAGAAUAUUUAUUCAUACCUGUAUGUGAAAUUUGGUUAAAUAGCAAUACAAAUAAAAAA
This is a long non-coding RNA of Gadus morhua (Atlantic cod), 2684 nucleotides long. RefSeq lists it as uncharacterized. The transcript is spliced from 3 exons. NCBI's taxonomy places the organism in Eukaryota, Metazoa, Chordata, Actinopteri, Gadiformes, Gadidae. The record is from RefSeq and is a predicted model, not a curated record.